AAGUCGUAACAAGGUUUCCGUAGGUGAACCUGCGGAAGGAUCAUUAACACUGUUUUAACUUACAGUUUUAAACUCAAAACUCGUGAACAGACUCUUAACCGAGUCUCCCUCUCCCCUAUUUUUUAUUAAAACCCCAACACCUUCACUUUAUCUUCCGCAAGGAAAUGAACUGAACAAAUACAAACAACGAAACGGACUACGCCGUAAAAAAGUGUGGCUUCGAUAAGUUAAUGAAAUGCUGAACAACUCUUAACAACGGAUAUCUUGGUUCUC
RNAcentral lists this unclassified non-coding RNA (273 nucleotides) under fungal sp. RNAcentral's name for it is "partial internal transcribed spacer region". The stretch from base 1 to 46 matches the Rfam family "Eukaryotic small subunit ribosomal RNA", at positions 1786 to 1831 of the family's 1831-position model. The record is from RNAcentral. Lineage: Eukaryota; Fungi.